Molecule: ribosomal RNA, 503 nt
Filed under: uncultured bacterium
Lineage: Bacteria
Description: partial 16S ribosomal RNA
Rfam family: Bacterial small subunit ribosomal RNA
Source: RNAcentral
AUUGAACGCUGGCGGCAGGCUUAACACAUGCAAGUCGAGCGGGGUGAUGGUGCUUGCACAAUCACUUAGCGGCGGACGGGUGAGUAAUGCUUAGGAAUCUGCCUAUUAGUGGGGGACAACAUCUCGAAAGGGAUGCUAAUACCGCAUACGUCCUACGGGAGAAAGCAGGGGAUCACUUGUGACCUUGCGCUAAUAGAUGAGCCUAAGUCGGAUUAGCUAGUUGGUGGGGUAAAGGCCUACCAAGGCGACGAUCUGUAGCGGGGCUGAGAGGAUGAUCCGCCACACCGGGACUGAGACACGGCCCAGACUCCUACGGGAGGCAGCAGUGGGGAAUAUUGGACAAUGGGGGGAACCCUGAUCCAGCCAUGCCGCGUGUGUGAAGAAGGCCUUAUGGUUGUAAAGCACUUUAAGCGAGGAGGAGGCUCUUUUGGUUAAUACCCAAGAUGAGUGGACGUUACUCGCAGAAUAAGCACCGGCUAACUCUGUGCCAGCCGCCGCCGUAA